Molecule: long non-coding RNA, 1101 nt
Organism: Homo sapiens (human)
Lineage: Eukaryota; Metazoa; Chordata; Mammalia; Primates; Hominidae
Gene: MIR663AHG
Product: MIR663A host gene
Source: Ensembl
GGUGACGCGUGCGCCGGCCGGCCGCCGAGGGGCUACCGUUCUGCCUCCGACCGGUCGUGUGUGGGUUUACUCGGAGACGGAAUGAAGUUGAUAAUAGUGAGACCUUGUUGGUACAAGACUAUGUAACAUAACCUGCGCUUCUCAACAAAGAAUUGCUUUUCUGACUUCUGCACUCAAUAGCAAGACAAAUCUCUCCUCUGCCUUCUCCUUAUCAGACUACUCAACAUGAAGGCAAUAAGAAUGAAGACCUCUAUGUAUAAUAAUUGACUUCCACUUAAUAAAUAAGGUUACUUGGUACACUGGUCGACAAAACCUUGAAAUGUUGAUGUUUAAGGGCUGUUGAUUGCUGGCAGCAAAGAAGUCCAACUGUGCUGGUACCCGAGAUAGCGUCUCCACAUUUUCUUCCAGGAUCAUCACCUUUGUUCUAAAUAGCUCCCACAUAGUGUGAACAGAAGUCAUAUGUUUUAGAUUUUCUGCCUUGGCACCCAGGAAACCAGUAUGAUUGAGUAAACAUAUUAAACUUCCUCUGCAUUUCCAGCCUGAACAGAUGUUGAGUACAAGCUGAUCCACCUACGUUCAACCUGAGAGAGUCCACAUCCACAGACUGUUUCAUUUCCCUUUUUCAAUUUACAUAGAAGCAUAGAUUCUUGCUGGCAUAUACAAAUGCGCCAUUUAAGGCAAUCAAAAAUGGUUCCACAUCUCAUCUGAUUUCCACAAUUGUUGCUGUAACGAUGGACUACUGAGGAGAGAGACAAUUUCUCUGGCACAUCUUCCCACAUUUUAGCAACAUGUUCAUGGAGAGCCAAUAUUCAGUAAUUACAGCCCAAUUCCUCACAAUUUCACAAUUCGCUAACAAUAUGCAUUUUCACAAUGUAAAGCUGAUUUUCCUUUAACCAAAUCAAACAUGAAAAGAUAGCUGCAUGCAAUGGGCAAUCUAGAUCAUUAGAAGAUUGAUGUAAAAUUAGAGGACACUGAGACUGGAAUAGAUUGCAAACUUCAGGGAGCUCAGAAAACUUGUAAACUCUACAUUUUGAGGAAAUAUGUUGUCGAUGCUUUUGCAACUCUAUGCAGUAACUUAACAAAUAAAGCCUUAAAGUAACU